RNAcentral lists this ribosomal RNA (231 nucleotides) under uncultured Eubacteriales bacterium. RNAcentral describes it as "uncultured Clostridiales bacterium partial 16S ribosomal RNA". It matches the Rfam family "Bacterial small subunit ribosomal RNA", at positions 103 to 334 of the family's 1533-position model. The record is from RNAcentral. Lineage: Bacteria; Bacillati; Bacillota; Clostridia; Eubacteriales.
CGGGUGAGUAACACGUGAGUAACCUGCCUUACACAAGGGGAUAGCCUCUGGAAACGGAGAAUAAUACCCUAUAAAGUCUAAUCAGCACAUGCUGUAAAGACCAAAGAUUUAUCGGUGUAAGAUGGACUUGCGUCUGAUUAGCUAGUUGGUGAGAUAAAAGCUCACCAAGGCGACGAUCAGUAGCCGGCUUGAGAGAGUGUACGGCCACAUUGGGACUGAGACACGGCCCAA